UAUUACUUAAACCUACUUUGUUAUAAUUAACAGUUUGAACACUUAUAAUGUACAAAAAUAGCAGAUAUUUACACUGUAUUAUGGAGAAGUGUGACCAUUGAUUUAUUUUAAAUGUGGUGUCGUAACAUAAACCAACUGACAGUGGUUAUGCGAUAUGAGUACCUGUAACAACUCAACCAGAACAAAUAAACAGACACUUAAACAGAUUUCAAGGUUAAGUUCAAAACGAAAGGAGAAAUAAAAAAUGGCUUCCAAUUUAGAGAGCUCAUUUCAUAAAGGAUCAGAUUGGUUAUUUGACUUCUUGCUCCAUCUGCCAGGAAAAGGACAGAAAUACAUAGGCUGAAUUUUACUGUCAGGAAUGUUGCAAGUUUUACUGUACAAACUGCAUGGAGUACCAUAAGUAUUUUUUAAAGACACAUGAAACUUUGGGUAAAAAAAACAUCAGCCAGUGGCCUCAGAACAAUGUGGAUGCACAAGAGCAAUCAAGUUCAUCAGACCAGCUGGUAGAGAAAUAUCAACCAGGUGCAGCAACCAAGCCUGAUCCAAUAAUAAUAGUGACAAGUAGAAAGAAGUUCAAUGUUCGAAUUAAGGGUGAUUCAAUCAAAUGAUGGAUAAAUGGUAUCUGUGAGACAUCUAAUGGAGAACUCCUCAUCACAGACCACUACAACCGUAAAGUGAAGCUGCUGAAUCAGACCUACAAGAUAGUGGAUCACUAUGAGUUGCCUACCGGUAAUUAUCCAGUGUCCAUGUGCAGCAUUGACUCCAGUCUGGUGGCAGUUAUAAUCUUAGAAAGCAGAGAGAUUCACUUCAUCAGAGUGACCACCAAUGGUCGGCUGGUACAAGACAGGAAACUGAACCUCCAACAUGACUGCUCUGGUAUUGCCCAUCACCACGGCAACCUGUACAUAACAUCAGGAAUAGCCCUGUACCCGUACUCCUUAGAUGGGACACUGUUGAGAAAGUUGUAUGACGAUACAACAGGUCUUUACAAAAGUAGCUCCUGUGCAGUUAGUCAUGAUGGAGAAAGGAUAUAUGUGGCAAACAAGAGCAUCAAGUCCAUAGACUUUCAACUGGUCACUCUGUCCAGGGAUGGCAUAGUGAUCUCCAAACUUACUGAACAUGAAAUUUGUUUGAGUGAACGAUUUCCACCUGGCCUCCAUGUGACAGAUUCAGGACAAGUUCUGGUAUAUUACGAAUUUUCCAAGAACAUCUUCCAGAUAGACAGAGAUGGAAGAGAGAAACUGGCAGUGGUGGUCAGAAGUAAGAAUAAAGAGCCAUUAUCUGUCUUCUUCAGCAAACGCACAGGGUCACUCAUUAUGGGAGCGAGAGAUAACAAUAACAUUAAGGUGUUUAAGACACAGCGACUGUUGGAAAAUGAUGAUAAAUCACAAUUUAGAUAUACAUCAGUAAAGUUGAUAGUUUAAACAGUAUUUUAAUUAUAUAUGUGCCAUUUGUCAUCAGUAAAAUGGUUCUGACAUUUAACAAAAUAUUGUAAUACAUUGAUGAUUUGUAAAUGAGUGUUAUUACUGGUAUAUCAUUACUGUGAAACCAUUAUUAAUCGUCGGGCAUUAAUUUUCGUUAAUGUUGCAAGUUUUACUGUACAAACUGCAUGAAGUACCAUAAGUAUUUUUUAAGACACAUGAAACUUUGGGGAGAGAAAACAUCAGCCAAUGGCCUCAGAACGAUGUGGAUGCACAAGAGCAAUCAAGUUCAUAAGACCAGCUGGUCGAGGAAUAUCAACCAGGUGCAGUAAGCAAGCCUGAUCCAAUAAUAAUAGUGCGGAGUAGUAAGAAGUUCAAUGUUCGCAUCAAGGGUGAUUUUACCAAAUGUGAUAUAAAUGGUAUCUGUGAGACAUCAAACGAAGAACUCCUCAUCACAGACCACUACAACCGUAAAGUGAAGCUGCUGAAUCAGACCUACAAGAUAGUGGAUCACUAUGAGUUGCCUAAUUAUCCAGUGUCCAUGUGCAGCAUUGACUCCAGUCUGGUGGCAGUUAUAACUUUUGGCAGCAGUGAGAUUCACUUCAUCAGAGUGACCAACGGUCGGCUGGUACAGGACAGGACACUGAACCUCCAACAUAACUGUUCUGGUAUUGCCCAUCACCACGGCAACCUGUACAUAACAUCAGGAACAGACCUGUACCAGUACACUGUAGAUGGGACACUGUUGAGCAAGUUGAAUAACGAUACAACAGGUCUUUUGGAAAGUAGCUCCUGUGCAGUUAGUCCAGAUGGAGAAAGGAUAUAUGUGGCCAACAAGGCACAAGAGGACAGCAAUCUGGUCACACUGUCCAGGGAUGGAAGAGUGAUCUCCAAACUAACUGACCCUGCAAUGUACUGGUUGGAACAACUACCACCUGGCCUUCAUGUGACAGAUUCAGGACAAGUUCUGGUAUGUGGUGUAUUUUCCAGCCUUGUCUUCCAGAUGGACAGAGAUGGAAGACAGAAACUGGCAGAGGUGGUCAAAAGGAAGAAUGAAGUACCAUUAUCUGUCUUCUUCAGCUGGCGCACAGGGUCACUCAUUAUGGGAUUGUUGGAUAACAAUAACAUUAUGGUGUUUAAGGCACAGUGACUGUUGGAAAAUGAUGAUGAAUCAAAAUUUAGAUAUACAUCAGUAAAGUUGUUAAUUCAUGCAGUAUUUCCAAUGUGUAUAUAUGAGUCAUUUGUCAUCAGUUAACAGUGUUCGGACAUUUAACAAUAUAUUGUAAUAAAUUAAUGAUUUGUAAA
This is an RNA transcript of Dreissena polymorpha, 2726 nucleotides long. RefSeq lists it as uncharacterized. The record is from RefSeq and is a predicted model, not a curated record. The transcript is spliced from 3 exons. NCBI's taxonomy places the organism in Eukaryota, Metazoa, Mollusca, Bivalvia, Myida, Dreissenidae.